GUGAGGAAUAUUGGUCAAUGGGCGGGAGCCUGAACCAGCCAAGUCGCGUGAAGGAAGAAGGAUCUAUGGUUCGUAAACUUCUUUUGCAGGGGAAUAAAGUGCAGGACGUGUCCUGUUUUGUAUGUACCCUGAGAAUAAGGAUCGGCUAACUCCGUGCCAGCAGCCGCGGUAAUACGGAGGAUCCGAGCGUUAUCCGGAUUUAUUGGGUUUAAAGGGUGCGUAGGUGGUUUGAUAAGUCAGCGGUGAAAGUUUGCAGCUUAACUGUAAAAAUGCCGUUGAAACUGUCGGACUUGAGUGUAAAUGAGGUAGGCGGAAUACGUGGUGUAGCGGUGAAAUGCAUAGAUAUCACGCAGAACUCCGAUUGCGAAGGCAGCUUACUAAGCUACAACUGACACUGAAGCACGAAAGCGUGGGGAUCAAACAGGAUUAGAAACCCCAGUAGUCC
This 445-nucleotide ribosomal RNA is filed under the name uncultured bacterium. RNAcentral's name for it is "partial 16S ribosomal RNA". It matches the Rfam family "Bacterial small subunit ribosomal RNA", at positions 354 to 796 of the family's 1533-position model. The record is from RNAcentral.